Small nucleolar RNA from Neogale vison (American mink), 92 nucleotides. Its record names the gene SNORD116. It matches the Rfam family "Small nucleolar RNA SNORD116". Rfam says of the family: HBII-85 is a member of the C/D class of snoRNAs, which contain the C (UGAUGA) and D (CUGA) box motifs. HBII-85 is encoded in a tandemly repeated array with another C/D snoRNA, HBII-52, in the Prader-Willi syndrome (PWS) region of chromosome 15. Unlike most other snoRNAs, HBII-85 is expressed prevalently in the brain (but is absent in PWS patients) and lacks any significant complementarity with ribosomal RNA. The record is from Ensembl. NCBI's taxonomy places the organism in Eukaryota, Metazoa, Chordata, Mammalia, Carnivora, Mustelidae.
AGAUUGGUGAUGACUCCCUACAAAUGCAUUCUUAGAAAUCUGAACAAAAUGAGUACUAAUCUCUACUGUCAUCCUCACUGGAAAUGAGUUCC